GGGCCCGUAGCCUAGUAUGGAUUAGGGCGCUGGCCUGCGAAGCCGGAGGUCCUGGGUUCAAAUCCCAGCGGGCCCA
This 76-nucleotide transfer RNA is filed under the name Nitrososphaerales archaeon. RNAcentral describes it as "tRNA-Arg". It matches the Rfam family "tRNA". Rfam says of the family: Transfer RNA (tRNA) molecules are approximately 80 nucleotides in length. Their secondary structure includes four short double-helical elements and three loops (D, anti-codon, and T loops). Lineage: Archaea; Thermoproteati; Nitrososphaerota; Nitrososphaeria; Nitrososphaerales. The record is from RNAcentral.